AAGCUCGAAGAUGAGAAACUCAUCUCCUACAUCUUACCGGGCUAGAUCGGGAGUAUGAUCUAGCAGUGAUGGCUGUGGCGACGCGGGUUGAGCCGAUCACCGUGAAUGAGCUCUAUGCGCAGCUUGUCUCCUUUGAGA
Molecule: small nucleolar RNA, 138 nt
Filed under: Sorghum bicolor (sorghum)
Lineage: Eukaryota; Viridiplantae; Streptophyta; Magnoliopsida; Poales; Poaceae
Description: Small nucleolar RNA Z247
Rfam family: Small nucleolar RNA Z247
About the family: Z247 is a member of the C/D class of snoRNA which contain the C (UGAUGA) and D (CUGA) box motifs.
Source: Rfam by way of RNAcentral